UAUAACUGAUAAUCGUCUUUCCCCCCCCCCCCCCAAACAUGCAGUCACGACUAGACUAACGAAGAGCUCUCGCACAAACCGUACCUCAUGCUUUCAUUUCCUUUAGGUCCAAAAGAAGAGCGAGUUUGAAGCCUUGCGUCUGAGCCUGACCUCCGCCCACAUGUGUCAGCCGGAGCAGGAGUCUGCUCUCACUAAGGUCCAGGGGUCCCUAAAGGAGACACUUGCCCAGGAAAGUGCACUCCUGCAAGACCGGCAUCAGUCAGAUCUGGACCAGACCAGACGGCAGAACCAGGAGCAGCAGGAGAAACUGCGAGAGCUGCACCAACGAGACAUGAGUGAGUGCAGACCAGAGUGCUUUUCAGUUAUUCAGUCAGCGUUCAUUUUCAUAUUCACCCGUAGGUGCACUCAACAUGCGUGCUGUUAUGGAUGUAGGUUGAACGUGGUCGACUCUUUUCAUUUGUUUUGUAUGCAUGUUCAGAUGAGUUGAAGCAGCAGUGGGAGACUCGUGUUGCUCAGGAGAGAGCUGCCAUGGAGGAAGAGCAGGCCAAAGAGCUGCAGGUCAAGCUUGAUAAAACAUAUUGUACAAAUGUUGCGUUUCAUUUAUACGAAUUUAUACCAUAUGAGAUUCAUUUUAAUCAUACAUUUCACUUCAUCUUGGUAUUCUCUUUUCCUCAGGCUUUAAGGUCACAGUUGGGUAAGGAUGCUGAGGGCACCCAGCCAAACCUCCAGACCUCUCUCUCAGAGACCCAGGCAGAACUCGCCAGCACCCAGGCCUCCCUCAUCCAGACCAACAAAGCUCUUACUGAAGCCCAGGCAGCGAUGUCCCAGACCCAGUCAGAGCUGCAGGAGUCCCAGACCAAGCUCCGGGAACUCCAGACCUCCAGUAAGGAGCAGAACCAGAAACUGGAGCAGGAGGUGACACAAGCCUGGGCUGACCGAGAUGCUGCUGCCAGUGCUCUGGAGAAGUUGGUUUCUACCCAUAAGGCAGUGCUGCAGGAGAAAAAGCAACAAGUACUCCACCUAGAGGAGAUGGAACAGAAACUGUACCAAGAGGUGAGUUCACUUAAACACAUUAGCGUGCAGUUAAGUUGCCAUUCUUUUCUCAUUUCAGUCCCCAGGCCCCAUCAUUAA
This 1131-nucleotide long non-coding RNA is filed under the name Cottoperca gobio. Its description in RNAcentral is "lncRNA (ENSCGOG00000024591.1)". The record is from RNAcentral. Lineage: Eukaryota; Metazoa; Chordata; Actinopteri; Perciformes; Bovichtidae.